This 465-nucleotide ribosomal RNA is filed under the name Vreelandella stevensii. RNAcentral's name for it is "partial 16S ribosomal RNA". It matches the Rfam family "Bacterial small subunit ribosomal RNA", at positions 338 to 795 of the family's 1533-position model. Lineage: Bacteria; Pseudomonadati; Pseudomonadota; Gammaproteobacteria; Oceanospirillales; Halomonadaceae. The record is from RNAcentral.
CCUACGUGUGGCAGCAGUGGGGAAUAUUGGACAAUGGGCGAAAGCCUGAUCCAGCCAUGCCGCGUGUGUGAAGAAGGCCUUCGGGUUGUAAAGCACUUUCAGUGGGGAAGAAAGCCUUGGGGCUAAUACCCUCGAGGAAGGACAUCACCCACAGAAGAAGCACCGGCUAACUCCGUGCCAGCAGCCGCGGUAAUACGGAGGGUGCGAGCGUUAAUCGGAAUUACUGGGCGUAAAGCGCGCGUAGGCGGUCUGAUAAGCCGGUUGUGAAAGCCCCGGGCUCAACCUGGGAACGGCAUCCGGAACUGUCAGGCUAGAGUGCAGGAGAGGAAGGUAGAAUUCCCGGUGUAGCGGGGAAAUGCGUAGAGAUCGGGAGGAAUACCAGUGGCGAAGGCGGCCUUCUGGACUGACACUGACGCUGAGGUGCGAAAGCGUGGGUAGCAAACAGGAUUAGAUACCCGAGUAGUC